This 253-nucleotide ribosomal RNA is filed under the name uncultured bacterium. RNAcentral's name for it is "partial 16S ribosomal RNA". It matches the Rfam family "Bacterial small subunit ribosomal RNA", at positions 524 to 776 of the family's 1533-position model. The record is from RNAcentral.
UACGUAGGGACCAAGCGUUGUUCGGAUUUACUGGGCGUAAAGGGCGCGUAGGCGGCGUGACAAGUCACUUGUGAAAUCUCUGGGCUUAACCCAGAACGGCCAAGUGAAACUGUUGUGCGUAGAGUGCAGAAGGGCAAUCGGAAUUCUCGGUGUAGCGGUGAAAUGCGUAGAUAUCGAGAGGAACACCAGAGGUGAAGACGGGUUGCUGGGCUGACACUGACGCUGAGGCGCGAAAGCCAGGGGAGCAAACGGG